GCGGGCGUAGCUUAAUGGUAGAGCCUCGGCUUCCCAAGCCGAUGACGCGGGUUCGAUUCCCGUCGCCCGCUCCA
RNAcentral lists this transfer RNA (74 nucleotides) under Brevibacterium sp. RNAcentral's name for it is "tRNA-Gly". It matches the Rfam family "tRNA". From Rfam's summary of the family: Transfer RNA (tRNA) molecules are approximately 80 nucleotides in length. Their secondary structure includes four short double-helical elements and three loops (D, anti-codon, and T loops). Lineage: Bacteria; Bacillati; Actinomycetota; Actinomycetes; Micrococcales; Brevibacteriaceae. The record is from RNAcentral. RNAcentral also lists the same sequence under 1 other name.